This 72-nucleotide transfer RNA is filed under the name Arcobacter sp. FW59. RNAcentral describes it as "tRNA-Phe". It matches the Rfam family "tRNA". Rfam says of the family: Transfer RNA (tRNA) molecules are approximately 80 nucleotides in length. Their secondary structure includes four short double-helical elements and three loops (D, anti-codon, and T loops). Lineage: Bacteria; Pseudomonadati; Campylobacterota; Epsilonproteobacteria; Campylobacterales; Arcobacteraceae. The record is from RNAcentral.
CGAUAGCUCAGUCGGUAGAGCAGGGGAUUGAAAAUCCCCGUGUCGGUGGUUCGAUUCCGCCUCGAGGCACCA